RNAcentral lists this ribosomal RNA (465 nucleotides) under uncultured bacterium. Its description in RNAcentral is "bacterial SSU rRNA". It matches the Rfam family "Bacterial small subunit ribosomal RNA", at positions 338 to 795 of the family's 1533-position model. The record is from RNAcentral.
CCUACGGGAUGCAGCAGUGGGGAAUAUUGCACAAUGGGCGCAAGCCUGAUGCAGCCAUGCCGCGUGUAUGAAGAAGGCCUUCGGGUUGUAAAGUACUUUCAGCGGGGAGGAAGGGUUGAGUGUUAAUAUCACUCAGCAUUGACGUUACCCGCAGAAGAAGCACCGGCUAACUCCGUGCCAGCAGCCGCGGUAAUACGGAGGGUGCAAGCGUUAAUCGGAAUUACUGGGCGUAAAGCGCACGCAGGCGGUCUGUCAAGUCAGAUGUGAUAUCCCCGGGCUUAACCUGGGAACUGCAUUUGAAACUGGCAGGCUUGAGUCUCGUAGAGGGGGGUAGAAUUCCAGGUGUAGCGGUGAAAUGCGUAGAGAUCUGGAGGAAUACCGGUGGCGAAGGCGGCCCCCUGGACGAAGACUGACGCUCAGGUGCGAAAGCGUGGGGAGCAAACAGGAUUAGAUACCCGGGUAGUC